This is a long non-coding RNA of Peromyscus eremicus (cactus mouse), 731 nucleotides long. RefSeq lists it as uncharacterized. The record is from RefSeq and is a predicted model, not a curated record. NCBI's taxonomy places the organism in Eukaryota, Metazoa, Chordata, Mammalia, Rodentia, Cricetidae. The transcript has 6 exons.
UAAGCCUUUCUUGGUGCAGGUGCUUUCCAGUCUCUCUAUGUUAUGGGCGAAGAGACUGAGACUGAACCCAGAAAAGUGAAGUGACGUGCCUUGAGUCACAGCUAGCCACCAUGAACAUCAGGCACAUAACUCCUGCUGAGCUGCUCCAGUGCUCCAGUCACCCCACAGCAAAGGCUCAUUAGGAGUAAAUUAGAAAGUUUCUCUGAGACAGGAAUCUGCCGGCAGUUCCUGAGGAAUCAAGAAGAGAGCCACCUGGUAUGUGAGCUUGUGAUGAGAGAGGUGAUGAAUCAGCUGUUGGAUGAUGCUUACUGUGGCUUAAGAGUUGAUGUUCUGUUCCUACGCAUUGAUCUCAGCCUUCUUCAGUUCACAGGGAGAACUUAUGGGCGGUGGUGGUGCACAUCUUUAAUCUCAGCACUCAGGAGGCAGAGGCAGGUGGAUCUCUGUGACUUUGAGGCCAGCCUGGUCUACAGAGCAAGUUCAGCUGACGGAUGGGAGACAUGGUCUGGUAACACCAUGCUUCAGACUGUGACUGUGGAGCUAGCCUGCUUGACCUUGGGGCUGGAGAAAUGUUAAGAAUGUUUGCUGCUCUUCCAGAGAACCAGAAUUCAGUUCCCAGCAUCCAUACCCCGUGGUUCCAAGGAAUUCAACUCCUUUUUCUUAGCUUCCUCAAGCACCCACACACAUGUGGCUUACACACACACACACACACACACACACACACACACACACAA